This 434-nucleotide ribosomal RNA is filed under the name uncultured bacterium. RNAcentral describes it as "bacterial SSU rRNA". It matches the Rfam family "Bacterial small subunit ribosomal RNA", at positions 954 to 1392 of the family's 1533-position model. The record is from RNAcentral.
GCAAAACGCGAAGAACCUUACCCACCUUUGACAUGUACAGAAUCCUUUAGAGAUAGAGGAGUGCUCGAAAGAGAGCCGUAACACAGGUGCUGCAUGGCUGUCGUCAGCUCGUGUCGUGAGAUGUUGGGUUAAGUCCCGCAACGAGCGCAACCCUUGCCAUUAGUUGCUACGAAAGGGCACUCUAAUGGGACUGCCGGUGACAAACCGGAGGAAGGUGGGGAUGACGUCAAGUCCUCAUGGCCCUUAUAGGUGGGGCUACACACGUCAUACAAUGGCUGGUACAAAGGGUUGCCAACCCGCGAGGGGGAGCUAAUCCCAUAAAGCCAGUCGUAGUCCGGAUCGCAGUCUGCAACUCGACUGCGUGAAGUCGGAAUCGCUAGUAAUCGUGGAUCAGAAUGUCACGGUGAAUACGUUCCCGGGUCUUGUACACACCG